This 442-nucleotide ribosomal RNA is filed under the name uncultured bacterium. Its description in RNAcentral is "SSU rRNA". It matches the Rfam family "Bacterial small subunit ribosomal RNA", at positions 26 to 518 of the family's 1533-position model. The record is from RNAcentral.
AGAGCGAACGCUGGCGGCAGGCCUAACACAUGCAAGUCGAGCGCCCGUAGCAAUACGGGAGCGGCAGACGGGAUAGUAACACGUGGGAACGCGCCCUUCGGUUCGGAAUAACUCAGGGAAACUUGAGCUAAUACCGAAUACGCCCUUACGGGGAAAGAUUUAUUGCCGAAGGAACGGCCCGCGUCCGAUUAGCUAGUUGGUGAGGUAAUGGCUCACCAAGGCUACGAUCGGUAGCUGGUCUGAGAGGAUGACCAGCAUCACUGGGACUGAGACACGGCCCAGACUCCUACGGGAGGCAGCAGUGGGGAAUAUUGGACAAUGGGCGCAAGCCUGAUCCAGCCAUGCCGCGUGGAUGAUGAGGCCUUAGGGUUGUAAGUCUUUUAACGGGAAGAUAAUGACGGUACCGUAGAAUAAGCCCGGCUAACUUCGUGCCAGCAGCCGC